Pelobates cultripes (western spadefoot toad) is the source of this 302-nucleotide non-coding RNA. The record is from the annotation of a GenBank genome assembly. NCBI's taxonomy places the organism in Eukaryota, Metazoa, Chordata, Amphibia, Anura, Pelobatidae.
CCUAAAGGCAAAACCUGAAUCCUUACACACUUUGCACAUUGUACCUAGGCAUCUUAUAUUUCAUUUCUCUGAACGUGUUAGGCACUGGCAGUGUUAUUUUUAGGAGCUCUUCUAUUGCUGUAACUCUGUGGUGCCUGAGAAGUGAAAUACAUUACAAAAGGCAUACGUGUUGGAAGAAGAACACUAUUUUGGGCCUCUAUCUCACACUCUCAGAUAGGUUGUCUAAUGUCCUUAUUUUGGGAGCACCAGAGACAAGUACCCAGAAAUCACAAGACCUCAUCAUGAACUGGCACCAAGCUAAC